UUUUGCUGUUUUCAGUCAUUGCCGGCGUUGAACAGGGACCAAGUAAGUGAAGCCAUGGGCCAAGACACUAUGUAAUAAGUGGCAACAACGUGAGGGCUUCCCUACCCGCUCCUUGCUGUGUGGCCGCCCUCCAAGCUGCAUGAGUGUCUUGUACUCUUGCCAAGACCUCUUCCCUCGUUGGCUGCCAACGGAGCCCUGCCGUCCACAGGUCCACAGACAUCUGGGAGAAGAGCCCUGACAAAAGUAAAUGUUGCUACCAUAUGGGAAGGAGAACAGAUCAGCAAAGAUACUUCUUGUACAUGCUGACUAGGCCUGAAGAGUGAUUCAUUUUCUCUGGUAGUCCAAGCAAAUGAUAUCGGCCUUGUCCGUGACCGUACCUUCUUCCUCUCCCAUGGGGUCCCUCUGUCAGUCCCUCAACCCCAGUCAUACAAAACCAAUGGGACCCCUAAGAGAACAUACUGGCUGAACCCGUAGGAAGCUACAAAACUUGCACAAUAGGGUUAGGACCUGGGAAUUCCCAUACCCUUAGAACCACAUUGAUACUCUGUGCCUAAAGUUACUACCUAUUCUCUCCUAUUACUUAACUGAUGCAAUCAGUAUUUUUCUUUGGAAGAAUCUC
Phascolarctos cinereus (koala) is the source of this 619-nucleotide non-coding RNA. Lineage: Eukaryota; Metazoa; Chordata; Mammalia; Diprotodontia; Phascolarctidae. The record is from RefSeq and is a predicted model, not a curated record.